GGGCCGAUAGAUCAACGGUAGGCUCCCUCCGGGAGACCCGCUAGAGAUCGCCCGCUUUGCAAGCGGGAGGCUGUGGGUUCAAAACUCCCUCCCCUUGCGGGUGGGGGUGGAUAUCCCACUCGGUCCA
This 127-nucleotide transfer RNA is filed under the name Candidatus Aenigmatarchaeota archaeon. Its description in RNAcentral is "tRNA-Ala". The stretch from base 1 to 97 matches the Rfam family "tRNA". Rfam says of the family: Transfer RNA (tRNA) molecules are approximately 80 nucleotides in length. Lineage: Archaea; Nanobdellati; Candidatus Aenigmatarchaeota. The record is from RNAcentral.